AGAGCGAACGCUGGCGGCAUGCUUAACACAUGCAAGUCGCACGGGCACUUCGGUGUCAGUGGCGGACGGGUGAGUAACGCGUAGGUAUCUAUCCUUGGGUGGGGGACAACGGUUGGAACGACUGCUAAUACCGCAUAAUAACUGAGGUUUAAAGGCGCAAGUCGCCUGAGGAGGAGCCUGCGUACGAUUAGCUAGUUGGUGGGGUAAAGGCCUACCAAGGCGACGAUCGUUAGCUGGUCUGAGAGGAUGAUUAGCCACAUUGGGACUGAGACACGGCCCAAACUCCUACGGGAGGCAGCAGUGGGGAAUAUUGGACAAUGGGCGAAAGCCUGAUCCAGCAAUGCCGCGUGUGUGAAGAAGGUCUUCGGAUUGUAAAGCACUUUCGACAGGGACGAUGAUGACGGUACCUGUAGAAGAAGCCCGGCUAACUUCGUGCCAGCAGCCGC
This 446-nucleotide ribosomal RNA is filed under the name uncultured bacterium. Its description in RNAcentral is "SSU rRNA". It matches the Rfam family "Bacterial small subunit ribosomal RNA", at positions 26 to 518 of the family's 1533-position model. The record is from RNAcentral.